UGUGUGUGUGUGUGUGUGUGUGUGUGUGUCAGGACUGAGACGGCGAGAGACAGGCAGACAGACACAGAGAGGAACCGUUCCACCCCGUUCAGCAGCAACUGCUCGGCCUGUCUACAUGAGGUUUCUUCUCGAAUAUGGAGGCUUUUCGCUCUCUUGAUUUUGUUUUCCUACUCUCCAGUCACCACAGAUUCAUGCUGCCGAACUUUUGGCCACAUUUUUAGGCUGAAGGUAAAAGGAGCACAGGCUCGGCGGAGACAGAUGAGAGCUUUGUUAGUAGUUUUGCAGAAGGUGAGGAUGAUGACAACGAUGAUGGCGUUCACCGCGUCUGCGGGGCUAUUUAAGGAAACCUUCGCAUCGCCGCCUCGCCACACUCCUGCUGGCUUCUCUUCAAACGUUAUUUGAACCUCCACGUCGACAUGGGUGGUAACACGCCUUGGCAUGGUGUUGCUCCGCAAGGGCCAAGAAAAACACGGAAGCACACAAACACACACACACAGGAUUGUGAUACUCACAGCACGCAGCUAUAUCUAGCUCGUCUUUCUGGGGGACAGUUAGCGUUACAAAGUUAGCAUUUUCCCAUUGUUUUAACCAUCUGUCGACAGCUGAGAUGGACAUAUACAACACUUGACAGGUCUGACAUCAUAGCAGGCUUGCAAAAAACACAAAAUGCAUGUUUCGAUUUGAAUUGCAGACAUUUAAAAUGUAUGUGGUUUGGACGGGAAUCAGCAGGCGAGGGACAAGCAAGCAUGUCUGUGAUUUUCCACUUGUUUGAGUCCAACUGCAGCGACAAAGAGGAUACAAAAAAUAAACUGGGUAGCUUGAUUUUGGUUAAUCAUACGUUGAUUUUCUAUGAAAAGUCAAAUAGCUGCCACCAAUCAAACAAACGGCUUCCUGGUGCCCACGGUGAACAUUCAACGCUGUCGGUGAGUUUGAGCUCUAAACAAAACCAUUGACCGUUGACUGUACCCUGAGGGACGCCACAGCACACAACCCCCAGCUUAUUGCAAGCCUGGUGGCCCACCAGGCCUAAGUUGCCCCCCACUGGGCCUAGGCCACUGGGAAUUAUUUUUUUUAAUGUAUUUUUAAGACAUUUUUAAACUACAGUUACAGUGGGGAACUUGGUUGGAAACAGACAUAGUAUUUUCAAAUCUCCAGUUAGCUUUCAGCACAGGCUCUACAUUAAUGCUGCCAUCAGCCUGUGACUGGCCCGAGCCGGGCCCUCAUAAAAAAUAAAAAAAAAGUCACCACACACGGGAAACCGUGUUAACAUAAAUCUCUGGAAACCAUACGUUGUGAGAUAUUUCAGUUCUGCUCUCAUGCAGAGCAAAAAGCAGAACCACAAUCUGUGGGCGGACUACGGCUCAUGCCUGUGACCUUCAGUUGGCUGGAAUCGCCCCGACUCCUUUCAGCAGAGACCAGAUCAGCGGUGACGCUGAGGAGGCGUUCACUCUUAAGGCUGCAAUAAACAUUCAUUGCUGUCGGUGGGUUUACAUGAGAAUAACUCACUGAUCAAUGAAUGCAGACUGCGGUUCAAACACCUCAAUAACCAGUUGGCCGCUGGGUUGGACGCGGGCAAUGCAUGUGUACCCUAAGUCUUGAUACAACAUGCUAACGGUAAUGUGACAAACUAAGGUCAAGUUUUCCAUGGACACUGGCCUAGGCUGGUAAAUAAGCAUAUUGUGUGCAGUGUACUGGUGUCAUCAUACAGGAUAUCUUAGCAUAUUCAAAUUUAUUUGUAAUAUUUACCACCAGUUUACAGUGUUGCCUUGGUUUUUGAAGGGUAAGUUCAUCAAAAUGAGAUAAAAAAAAUAGUUUCUCACUUGCCAACAGUGCUAUCAAGAAACGUGGUUAGUUUUGGGUUUAUUAUUUAUUUUGGUUUUUGUUCCAAUAUAAUAAAAGUGAAUGGCUUUUCAUUUGUGGUGCUCACACCAUUGAAACGUGGAUAUUUGAAAAACUCAAUAGCAACAUCUCAUUCCAGAAAUUCUGUCUCCCUGAUAACCUAAAAAACUGUCAACAGUUUUCAUAGGGACUAUUUCUUCAGUAGAAAGUAGUUCCAAAGGAAACUGUUCAGUGAGGUCUGUAGACUAUCCAGAGUAACAAGGACACUUGUCUCUGGGAGAGAUGUUGUUGAUGAUUUUUAUAAAUGACAUUUUUCGAUGCUGUGAGCAACACAAACAAGAUAGAUUCACCUCCACUGUAUUAGUGUAGAGGCAGAAAUCUCACAGUCUGACAACCCAAAA
This is a long non-coding RNA of Sander lucioperca (pikeperch), 2240 nucleotides long. RefSeq lists it as uncharacterized. The transcript is spliced from 2 exons. The record is from RefSeq and is a predicted model, not a curated record. NCBI's taxonomy places the organism in Eukaryota, Metazoa, Chordata, Actinopteri, Perciformes, Percidae.